UGGGAGUGGUUACAUGCUCAUGAACGCACGGGGUUAGAAAUCGACCUGGAGGAAAAUGUAGUUUCCUGAGUGGGAAACUGAGCCCAAAAUGCUUGAUUACAAGUCGGUUCAUGUCAGGAGCAGCUAAAGGGGGCCACGGAGGAAAAUGGGGAGUUUUUAAGGACGUUAUAGAGCUUUAUAGUGGGUGCACCGCUGUCAACGGAGGAUGCAAACAUGACAGCAGUUUUUUUCUCCUCUGCGGUCACGUGGUCGCGCGCGCUACUUGAUGGAAAAAUACUGGAUUUGGUGUGUAGUGGCGAUAGUACACAAGCCUGUAAAGUCAUUUGGAAAGGGCUUUUGAAAGGCUGUUGUAACGUUUACCCAGCAACACUGUUCCCCACUCCUUUCAUUGAUAUUAUUCCCACCCAUAUGUGCGGUUAUUUCGCGCUGUGCACUAAAAUUUUUGAGUUUACAAACACUAUUAAAAAUGGUAUCAGGAGGCAUUUAGAAUAUCCAAUGUAUCCAAACUUUCGAGGAGCAUGCAGUUCAUUUUGCUUUUUGAAUAGAUAAUGGAGAAAACUCUCCUUGUUUCACCCAUCUGUCAUGCUCCUGCCCUUGGAUUUGUGUCACGCCUGAGACAGGCAGCCUACAUAAUGGACCACUCUCCACUUGAAAGGCAUCACACAUUGCUAGAAAGAAACAGGACAAGAAAAUACAGAGAAACUGCUGAGGAUUAACUUUGCUCAACUCAAACUCUUGAUGCCACACCAGCAGCAGAAAGUGACUUUCUUCAGUUUAUUUUUAAUUCACUCAGGAAUGUGUAAAAAACUCACUUCAUGACAACAGAUGUGUAAAUGAAAGUUUCUUACUUUAUUUACAUUUUUAUAUCUAUUCAGGGUUAGUCAGGUCCCUUCAUUCCUUCACAGACAAAUGAGGCUUUUUUCUUCACUGCUGGAAUUUAUCGUCAAACAUGUGUGAAGUUUGAAAGUAAGCAAUCCCAGUCAGGCACAGGCUGGUUAAAUCUUGUUCAGUCUGGUUGGACCAGUGUAGACCAUUUACAUACUGUAUAUUCUCAUUGCACCAUAGCAGGGGGGCUGACCUCUAUGAGGCAAUCCACAGAGAAAAAAAAAGACUAUUUGUUGCAGAGCCUCAGAUUGCUGCAUCGCCUGAAUCCUGCACACUGGCCAAUGUCUCUGUGCAUAGACUAGUUUAGCGUUUCCUUGGAAUCAUUUCACAAUAACACCAAUGUAUCAUCAAUCCACAUGUUCAAGGUUAAAAAAAAAACUAGAAAACUAAUAUAAAUGUUGUUACUGUGCUGGGUAUUUAUCAAAAGUUUAUAAAAAUAACAGAAAAGAAGUUUAUAUUUUAUUUUUGCAUAAGGCAGUAUAGGCUGAACAUCACAGCAUUAGUCUGCAGUGCCCCUCGUUAAACUGACCUUCUAUUUACGGUCCCGGAGCGCCCUCUGCUGGAGAAGCAGUGGUCCUGCGCUCAAACUUCCUGUGACAGCUUGUUACCACAAAUUUCCAAUAUGAUUCAUAACUUUUAAUUAGUAAUUUAUCUAAAAAACGGUUUAAAAAAAUGUUUUUAACUGAGUGGAAAGUUUUUCUAUGAGGUUAAUAGAAGUGGCUUGCAGCACUCAAUUUCACAUUUUUUUGAAGAGCUAUUGGAAAAUGUUAUAUUUUAAAAUCAAUACAAGUAAAAUUACAUAAAUAGAUAAAAUACAUUCAUAUAAAUAUGAAUAUAAACAAAUAACAAAACAGUUUUUAGCAAUAAAUGUAUCAUAAAAUGUUAAUAUAAUUGUAAUGAUAAUAUUGCAUAAUACAAUGUGAUGCAUAAUGGGUUUCUAUUGACACAUGAACAUAUUCUUUUGGUUUUCUUUUUAUUUUCAAAGUCUAUUAGCAAUUUAAACAUGUAUUUACUUUAGAUAAUCCAGUUAUAGAAACAGCCAAGUUCUUCUCAGUAUAAUGUCACCAAAACUUUUUUUCACCAUCUUUAAAGUUUACAAUAAAACUUUGUUUUCUGAAUCUUUACUCCUAUCAAGCUUUCUGUAAUGGAAACUAUAAUGUAAUAGAAUUCAGCGUCUCUCUUUUUUCCUCUUGCAGACUUGUGAAUUUAACAUAUGGACAUUUUCUCAGAAGCUGCAGCAGAAUCCGUGACAUUGUCACUAAUCCUCAGUAUAUGACCAGGGGUCUGCAACCUUUAACACUGAAAGAGCCAUAUGGUCCAGUUUCUUACAGAUCAAAACCCAGCGAGAGCCACUUCCUGUUUAGAAAAACACACUUCAUUUAUGCUUUUGUGGCCAUAAAACCAUUCAUUUCUUAAAACAUAGCUCACAAAUAUAGGUACAAAUAUGAAAUUAUAACAACGUUUCUAUUAUAUUACUUUUACAGCAGCACAUUCAGGUUACUUUCAAAAUAAAAUACAUUGUGUGACAAAUUAAAUCCUGUUGCAGCAGAUUUACUUGCAAUUAUAUUUUGAGAACUUAGUCUCCUAGCAGCAACUAGACGUAAGAGUUUUAAAAUGAGAAAAGAUCAAGAUUUUUACUAACAAACCCAUUAUUUAUUUAGAUUGUUUGAUUUUUUUUUUCAAAAUAAAAGAGCUAAAAUGGAGGGAGGCUUUAAGUUGCAGACCUCUGGUAUAGAACGUUUAUUAAUGCUGAAUCCCACAUACUUCAGAUGUAAUUCCAAAUCAAUAUAUAGUCACAAAAAAUCUGGAGAGUAUUAUGUUUCAUAAGGUCAUUAAAAAAUGUUUUUAAGACAAAGGAGCAAGAGUGACAGUAACUAGCCUUUAGUUUGGAUCCUCUUAUGUAUCAGUUGUGCUUGUCAGCAUGGACGCAGGUGGCUGAACAUCAUGUAAUGAGGGUUUUAUCUUGCCUCAUUAUUUUGACUUCCAACAGUGUGGGGACUUUUUUUUACCCCCUACUGCACUUGGGUACCAUUUUUCAUUUUUAACACUCCACUAGUCAUGCUGGGAGGCAUCAAGCCCCAUUACUCACAGCUUCCACAUCUCCCAGUUUCAGGCUGGACACUGUCCCACAAGUCCACUGAGCUCCUCAUGCCAAGUUAUUACCAACAAACGUUAAGCAGUGACAAGCAGGGUCUUCCAGAUUCCACGAUAUGAAUCAUCAGCCAGCAUCCUCACAUGACUCAACUGCAUUAUUGUUGACGUCACCCUAAACAGCAACACACAGGACUCAGAGCGGAAAAGAUGCACAUUCACAGGCUGUUUACAGACAUCAAAAGCCUCAAAAAGACUGCAGUUUGAGAAUUAUACACAUUAGGAUGGGGUUAAUGUUAAAUCAUUAAAAGUGACUUCUAAUGAAAUGUGUUGUGAAAUGUAGUUACAGAAAAUAUUCAUGUUAUUGUCUUUCUCUUGUCACAUCUGUAAUUUUAACUCCACAACUUUCACUGUUUCUUAAUAGUUUUGCCCCCAAGGACAAAAUUUCAACCACUUAAAUCUGAAUGUUUCUGAAAUUAAGCUUUAUUUUGCAGACAGCUGAUGACACUAAAAACUGUUUAGAGAAAAAUAAAUAAAAUUUUACAAACCUGUGUUUGAAUGUGUUUUUGAACUUUUCUUGUUGUUUGCAUGGCCUUAUCCACAUUACAGAGUCUGAUUGUUUCACUUUAAAUGAGCAGGUUUUGAUGAUGCGGUUUAUUCAGGAUUCAGUUCAAAGUUUUGGAUGGAAAAUCUCUGGAAUAUAAAGAGCUAAGAAAUACCAUUUUUUUUGUUAAGACUCAAUUCAAAAAAUUAUUUUAGAAUGUAUGUGGCUUUGUUAAAGAAAUAAAAACCACCAAAAAUAAUAUGUUUUAUUCUUUCAUUGUAAUAAAAAAGAAAUGCAUUUUGCAUUGUCUUGUUUUUAUAAUUGUUUUGUGACAAACAAAUGAAUAUAUAUAAAAAAUAAAGAAAAAAAGUGACACCUGAAAUAAACAUCCACCUGAGCACAUCACAUCGUUUAAAUUUUGUAAAUAGUGGUCUUGCUUGAGGUUGAGGUUUUAUUUUCACCUGGUAGCCGAUCUUCUGCCCUCUCCUGAGCCAUUUAAUGCAGAAAAAACUGUUGGUUUGUUUAUAAAAUUUUAGAAAAUUUGUUAGGAGAAAAUGCUAAACAGCAGGAACCUCAUCAGGAUGUGACUGAGAACAGUAGCUGUUUAGUCAGAAUCAGAUCUCUAUAGAUAAGUGGUUGGAGAUCCUGUCUUUCAUGAUUGUUAUAAUCUUAUCAUCCUUCUAAAAGCUUCUGUUUGUCAAAGACAGAUCCACUUGUUCUUGAUUGAUAUUUUUCUUUUAAAAAAUAAAAUUAAAACCCAACUAAGUUUCAGAGCAGGUUUACUUUUAUUUAAGCAUUCCUGUUGCAUUUUUGAAGACGGAUUUAUUUGAAACAUUAAAGCAUGUGUUCCUCCUGAGUUUUUAUCCCAUGUAGGUUAUUCUUUAUUGUUUUUUCCCCUGACCGUCUUCAAAGCUGAAGCACCCACAGAUCAAGGAUGAUAGUUUGGUUCAUUUAUGAGGUUUAUGGGUAAGAUGCUCCUUAACAGUGAGAUAAACCUUGUUUUUGUAAACCACUGUUGAUAUUACAUUGAAUGAAGAUGCCUUGUGUUAUCUCUUGUGUUAUUUCAAAAGCUAAGCAAAAUUUUGGAUUAAAAAAAAGACAUUUUAGCUCUUUUUAUUAUUAGGAUAUAUGCAAAACCAUGUUUAGCUGUCCAAAAGGGAGAAGGUAAACAAAAAUGUGUAUUUGUACACACUCUAUAUACUUUCACAUUGGAUCUUGAACCAUUAACGUCAACUAUAGUCAGGCUAAAAUUGGUAAUUAUAGGGAAAAAUAUACAACAAAAGAAAAUAUCUUUGCUGAUUUGCAUUGUUUAACAUUUUGAAUCAAAUACAUUUACUGAAGAUGCAGCAUAGGAACUUUUAAUUUGUGCCUUUGUCCAGAGUAAAACAAAUGUUAUACUUGGAAUAAAGUGCUGUCUUCUCGUUAUAUUUCAAAUUUUUGCUGUUCAGUUACAUAUAUCAUUAGGAAAAGUGACAUCAAUAUAAAGGAAUGUUGUGUUUUUCUAAAGGGUGAAACCAGACUUUGUUCAGACACCGGCCUGAAUGGUGCUAUGUGACCCCCACUGGUCCAUUGGAACUCUUUUUUCCCCAUAAACUUUAUUGAACAUUCUUUCAAUUUUCAAUUGUUUACAUUCACAUUCAGUUGUGCAUUUUUUUUAAACAAUAGGUAACAGAAAACCCUACAAGUACAGUGCAACCGGCACAACAUCAAUAAACCUUGGUGUUGCAAUU
Molecule: long non-coding RNA, 5250 nt
Organism: Oryzias melastigma (Indian medaka)
Lineage: Eukaryota; Metazoa; Chordata; Actinopteri; Beloniformes; Adrianichthyidae
Exons: 3
Source: RefSeq, a predicted model, not a curated record